AUGGAGGCCGCGGCGGCGGCCUCCGACGAAACCCUAGCCGCCGUUUUCGCCCAGCUCAAGCCCCACACCAUCGCCCUCCUGGACGUCCUCCGCAGCCGCUCCCCCGCCUCCAAUUCCGCCGCCGCCUCCUCCCUCCGCGCCAUGGGCGCCUUCUUCCGCUCCGUCCCUGCCCCCGCCUUGCAGCCCUGCUUCGACUAUACGGCGUUUCCAUUGCUCAUGCUCCUAGAUGCAGCGGUGCAGUGCAGGAAGGAAGGCAAGGCAGCGGGGCAGGGUGUCGGGGAGCUUGUCAUCACCGAUGCCAUCGCCGAAGGCGGGCUUGCUUGCCUUGAGUUGCUCCUCACCAAGUGCCGCCUCACCUCGCUCAAUCAGAUGGUCGCGUUGCUGAAAAAGUUGACAUCUGGGGCAAUACUUUCACCUUCGGAGGCUUCUGAAGAAUUCCGCCUAGGCAUCAUAAGAUGCUUCAGAGCCAUGAUUCUGCAGCUGCAAUCAUGCUCGGAUAAGUCCUGUUCGUGUAAUCAAGCAACUGUAUUACCUACGAGCCCAAUCAUUCUAAGUUCGGAAAUUGGUAGUGUGGUUCACCCAAAGCAUUCUGCAAAACCAGAGGAGUGCUUGCUUGCAUUCCUCCGAUCAGAAAAUGCUUCACCUGCUGUCGGACAUUGGCUCUCACUUCUUCUACAGUCAUCAGAAUUUGAGGCAUCAAGAGGUCACCGUGGCAGCGCAGGUGUUAGAAAGGAAUCAUUGCUCGCAUUGCGUGUUCUUAUUGCCAAGGUAGGUUCUGCUGAUGCACUUGCCUUUUUCCUUCCUGGUAUCGUCAGUCGUCUUGGAAAGCUUCUCUACACAUCUAAGACAAUGAUUAGCGGCGCUGCUGGGAGUGCUUUGAGCAUUGAGCAAGCCAUUCUUGGAUUGACUGACGCUUUGAUGAUAGUCCUAUGUGACAAGGAAAAUUUCAGUGCACUUGAUAUUCCUAGUGACAGUAGUUCUGCCCAAUGUUCUGGUGGCAGUGGUUCUAGUGACCAUGUAUUGCUGAAGCUUCGCCAGUUGCCAACCAAAACGUUUUCUGAACAGACAGGCAAUUCUGAAACUACAGAAGACACUACCUCUGAUGUCAGUAAUAACUCUGCUGAUAGAAGAGCACUGCAUGUAAAACGCACAAGAAAAUGGCUCGAGGAAACAGCAACUAAUGUUGGCAAAUUGUUUACGGAGACAUUUCCACAUCUUUCUGUUCACUCAUCUGAGAAAGUAAGGAGGUCGGUGGUUAUUGGUGUAAGGGGGCUGUUGUCUAGUUGCAGCCUCACAUUAAUGAGAAGCAAGAUGUUACUUGUGGAGUGCUUAUGUGUUCUAGCAUGUGAUGAUGCGGCAACUGUGUCUGAGGCUGCACAAGAUUCUCUUGAUUAUCUUUUCUUGAAGGGUCAACAUUUUCUAUCAGGAAAUGAGGUUUCUGAUAUAUUUACCAGGCUGCUUGAAAAGUUACCGCAAGUGGUACUUGGAAGCGAGGAGAUCACUGCCCUUUCUCAUGCCAGGAAACUGUUGGCUCUAACUUUCUAUGCCGGCCCUCAGUUUCUGAUAAAUCACCUUCAUCGCUCUCCUGUUGUUGCUGCUCGCUUCUUCGAUUGUUUGGGUUUAUGCAUUAGUCAUAGCUCACAGUUUUCUGGUUCCAUGGACAAGCUGAUUGUAUCAAAGCCACUAUCUGUUGGAUAUCUGUAUUCAGUUGCUGAGUUAAAGAAUGGAGCCUAUGUUAAUGAUGCAAGUCACAGUUCUCACUCUCAGUAUGCAACGUCUUCAUCUGCAGGCCCAAAAAUAUCUGUUAUUGGGGACAAUGGUUUGCCAAAUGCAAUAAAUGGUACAGUUGAAUAUGAGCUCCCCCAUGUACCUUCAUGGUUUGUUCAUGCAAGUAGCCAGAGGCUAUACUCCGCUCUGGCAGGAAUCAUAAGGCUGGUUGGUCUUUCAACAGUUUCAGGGCAAGGAACCAGUGCAUCUUUAUCUGUUUUUGUUGAUAUUCUACUCAAUCAGUUCCGGAGGUUAAGCACUGAGCUGCGCGCUGAAGACACUCACAGAUAUGGUGUGCAGAGGUGGUACAUGAAGAGUGAUUCUGGACAAAAACUGCGCCAGGCAAGCUCUGCUGUUUGCAUGCUCAAUGAGCUCAUAUAUGGUCUGUCAGAUCAGUCUCUCUCUGUGUGUUUGCAAUUAUUCAACAAGAGUUCAGCACAAGUGGUAAGGGUACCUGGUCAAAAUGACCACUUAACUUCAAGUGGUCUAAAUAGCGGAGUAAGAGAAGUUUGGAAGAUAAGUGAGCGAAUGGACACUAAAGACGAUAUUAUUCACUGUAUUGGUAGUAUACUACAUGAGUAUAUGUGUCCGGAAGUGUGGGAUCUUCCAACAGAACAGAACUCUGAGCUAUGCCUAGCAGAACUUAAUGUUCCAAUGCAUUUCUUCCGUGAUACAACUGCACUACAACAAGUAAUGCUUGACGGGAUUGGGGUCUUUGGUAUUAUUCUUGGUCAAGAUUUUGCACAGAGUGGGUUUAUGCACUCUUCACUUUAUCUUCUACUCCGGAAACUUAUCAGCUCAAGUGCACAAAUUAGAAUUGCGUCAGAUGCUGUCUUAAGAACACUUGCUGCCGCUGGUGGUUACUCUACGGUUGGCCAAUUCGUUGUGGCGAAUGCAGAUUACAUUGUCGACUCUCUUUGCAGACAAUUGCGCCAUCUAGACCUCAACCCCCACGUCCCUGAUAUUCUUGCUUCCAUGCUGUGUUACAUUGGUGCUUCUCGUGACAUUUUACCAUUUUUGGAAGAACCGAUGCGGGCAGUUUCUUCAGAGCUGGAGGUUCUUGGUAGGCAUGAUCAUCCCCAUCUAACUGUUCCAUUUCUGAAGGCAGUCUUUGAGAUCGCCAAGGCAUGUACUCAUGAAUCUAUUAGCUUACCAGAUGAGGUGCAAUCAUUUUCUGUGAAGGUCAGAUCAGAGCAUCAAGCAGUUGAAAGUUUGAUAGAGAAGAGAAGAGAAACCAGCGUAAUGCCUGGUACAAUGGAUGUUGAUCCCCAGCCUGAUUUUCUGAGCUUGGAAUAUUGGGAGGAUUUACUUUGCAAUCUAAAUGAUAUGAGAAAAUACAGGAGAAUAGUUGCAUCUCUGGCUGGGUCUUGCUUAUCAGCUGCCACCCCACUUCUCUCCUCAACCAAGGAAGCAGCAUGUCUUGUGGCCCUAGACAUCGUGGAGAAUGCUGUUGUAUCUAUUGCCAAGGUUGAGGACGCGUAUAAGUGUGAAAUUGAAAUCAAAGCUGUUAUCAAGGAGGCAGUUCAGCAAUUGUCCUUGGAUGAACUUCUUGAUGAUAUGGACACUGCUGAAGAUGUUGACGAGAAUAGACUACUCCCAGCUAUGAACAAACUAUGGCCAUACCUGGUUAUCUGUCUUAAGAACAAGAUCUCAAUGCCUAUUGUCAGAAGAUGCACAGAAGUUUUAGGCAGAACCAUUCAAAUAUCUGGUGGUAAUUUUUUUGUACGCCGGUUUCAUAAGGAUGGAUACAUUAUUUGGAGGUUGCUGGCCUUGUCUCCAUUCCGACGGAAAACACUGUCAUCAAUGGAUGAAAAAGCAAUUAUUUUACCAUAUAGGAAUACCUCACUUACCUCAGAGGAACCUAUGGCUGAGAUAUCCAGCCAAAAGAUUCAGAUUGCAGUCUUGGACAUGAUCACUGAAAUAUCUUCCCACAAAAGGAGUGCUAUUGCAUUGGAAAGUGUGUUGAAGAAGAUCUGUGGCCUUGUGGUAGGGAUUGCUUAUAGUGGUUUGAUAGGUCUGCGAGAAGCUGCUAUAAGGGCACUGACUGGACUUGCCUGUAUGGAUGCUGACCUCGUGUGGCUUCUUCUGGCAGAUGUGUAUCAUUCACUGAACCAAAGGGAUAUGCCCUUACCACCUAUUCAAGAUCUGGUGGAGUUAUGUGAUCUUUUGCCCCCUCCAAUGUCCUCUAGAGAGUACCUCUUUGUGCAGUAUGGUGGUGAGGGUGUUAGAUAUGAUAUAGAUCCUUCAUCUGUGCAUGAGGUGUUCAAAAGGAUGCAGGACACAGUUUUCAAAUGA
RNAcentral lists this ribosomal RNA (4062 nucleotides) under Triticum aestivum (bread wheat). Its description in RNAcentral is "partial small subunit ribosomal RNA". The record is from RNAcentral. Lineage: Eukaryota; Viridiplantae; Streptophyta; Magnoliopsida; Poales; Poaceae.